AUGCCAAUUAAAACCUAGUGGAAA
RNAcentral lists this non-coding RNA (24 nucleotides) under Arabidopsis thaliana (thale cress). The record is from RNAcentral. Lineage: Eukaryota; Viridiplantae; Streptophyta; Magnoliopsida; Brassicales; Brassicaceae.